AGAGACAGGUGCUGCACGGCUGUCGUCAGCUCGUGUCGUGAGAUGUUGGGUUAAGUCCCGCAACGAGCGCAACCCACGUAUUUAGUUGCUAACGGUUCGGCCGAGCACUCUAAAUAGACUGCCUUCGUAAGGAGGAGGAAGGUGUGGACGACGUCAAGUCAUCAUGGCCCUUAUGCCCAGGGCGACACACGUGCUACAAUGGCAUAUACAAUGAGACGCAAUACCGCGAGGUGGAGCAAAUCUAUAAAAUAUGUCCCAGUUCGGAUUGUUCUCUGCAACUCGAGAGCAUGAAGCCGGAAUCGCUAGUAAUCGUAGAUCAGCCAUGCUACGGUGAAUACGUUCCCGGGUCUUGUACUCACCGCCCGUCACACCAUGGGAGUUGAUUUCACUCGAAGCCGGAAUACUAAACUAGUUACCGUCCACAGUGGAAUCAGCGACUGGGGUGAAGUCGUAACAAGGUAACCGUAGGAGAACCUGCGGUUGGAUCACCUCCUUU
Molecule: ribosomal RNA, 496 nt
Filed under: Campylobacter coli
Lineage: Bacteria; Pseudomonadati; Campylobacterota; Epsilonproteobacteria; Campylobacterales; Campylobacteraceae
Also listed under: 1 other name
Description: partial 16S ribosomal RNA
Rfam family: Bacterial small subunit ribosomal RNA
Source: RNAcentral